UUCAUAGUUACAAGUGUUUCGUCAAUGCUUAUGAUUUUCAUAGAACUUAAUGAUUCUUGCUUGUAUCUUUAUUAUGCAAUUCAUGUAGGGAACUUGUGGGGAAUGCUUUGGGUUGUUGUAUGCAAUCAUCCAAUUCAAUGAAAUUAGGAAAAUCUGAGGGUUAAUUAGUGCAAUUCAAAGUUAAUCUGGGGCGUUGAGAAUUCAUAGUUUAUUGAAAAGCAACUGGAAAUCGUUUUGUUUGCAAGUGUGUCAUGUGUGGAAAAGAACCUCCUAGCUAGCCUUCCAUCAUUCAAUUUACUCAAAUUCGUGCAGAUUUCAUUAGUUCUUUAAUUUACUUGUUUUGUUUUCAAAUUCAUCAAAACCAAAAUCCCCUUUACCUUGUUGAGUCAUAUUAGUUAGAAACUGAUUUAGUUUGUGUUUUUAAGUAUUUCGAACCAAGUUAAAACCAAAAUUCAUCCAAAAGUGUGUUUAAAGUCUAAAUCUGCCCAGUUUGUGUUUUUAGGCAGAUUUGAGCGUUUUUAGCUUGUUUUGAGUUCUUUGAGUUUGUUUUGAAGUCUUUGAGUCUAGUUUAGUGUUUUUAACUUUGUUUAUAUGUUUUUAAGUCAGUUUAAAGGUUAUUAGCAAGCCCUCUUAAUCCCCGGUCUAGAACGAUCCCUACUUACAUUCUUUACUACAAUUGAUACAAGAGGGUUUAAUUUGUGUGUUAAGUAAAUUCGCAUCAGUGUCUCUUCGAUUUUUGAGAAAGUGAUCAUAUUGGGAGUCUGGCUCUCGAGAUUCAGAAGGCGGUGCCUCUUCGAUUUUUGAGCACCUAAUCUUGUUGGGAGUUUGGCUCUCGAGAUUCGGAU
RNAcentral lists this long non-coding RNA (845 nucleotides) under Malus domestica (apple). RNAcentral's name for it is "long non-coding RNA (MDOM_LNC002895)". The record is from RNAcentral. Lineage: Eukaryota; Viridiplantae; Streptophyta; Magnoliopsida; Rosales; Rosaceae.